This is a long non-coding RNA of Panicum virgatum (switchgrass), 2150 nucleotides long. RefSeq lists it as uncharacterized. The transcript is spliced from 4 exons. NCBI's taxonomy places the organism in Eukaryota, Viridiplantae, Streptophyta, Magnoliopsida, Poales, Poaceae. The record is from RefSeq and is a predicted model, not a curated record.
AGCUUGGAUUCUGAUUUAGAGGUGUUAAGUCAUAAUCCGACACACGGUAGCUUCGCACCACUGCCUUUUCAACCAAGCGCGAUGACCACUUGUGUGAAUCAAUGGUUCCUCUUGUACUAGGUUGAAUUACUAUCACGGCAUGGUCAUCAGCAGAGUAAAACUAACCUAUCUCACGACGGUCCAUACCUAGCUCACGUUCCCUAUUGUUGGGUGAACAAUCCAACACUUGGUGAAUUCUGCUUCAAAAUGAUAGGAAGAGCCGACAUCGAAGGAUCAAAAAGCAAUGUUGCUAUGAGCGCUUGGCUGCCACAAGCCAGUUAUACAUGUGGUAACUUUUCUGACACCUCUAGCUUCAAACUCCGAAGGUCUAAAAGAUCGAUAGACCACGCUUUCUCGAUUCGUAUUCGUACUGGAAAUCAGAAUCAAACGAGUACCCCCCCAUGCAAUGGUGGAGCCACCAAUACAGCAGGGUGAGGCAGCUAGCCCAGCUACUGCCGAAGCAGAUCCCGACUCCCCAUGGUGUUUUUAGUCGGCCGGAGGCGAGCAGGAGGUCGGAGAAGUGAGCGGUGGCGGCGUUCUGGCGAGUAGGAGGUCAGAGGAGGAAGAAGGAAAAAGAAGGCCGGCUUGGGCCAUCGCUGGUGAAGUGGUGGUUAAGUGGAAAAAGCCCAUGACCCAAAUAACAUUGGCCCAACAGCAAACCAAAACAUUCACCUCCACCGUUUCCCCCUUCUCGCUGGCUCUGUGUCGCCUCCGACCCCCCUGUCCCAUUUGUGUCCACUCCUAGCGGGCGGCCACCAAAACCCUAGCCGCCGCCCCUUCGGUUGCCAGAUGACAGAGCCGCCGCCCACCAGCCCGCGGCCAUUGCCGCUGUCCUGUGGGCAGUGGGGGAUUCCAUGGAGGAGUAGGAGGGCCAAGACAGCAGGGGAGCAAGCCCCCCCUCCCCCGCCCCAGGAGUGGCGUGGAUGCCACCGCCGCUGUUGGGCACUUCCGUGAAAGAAGGGCGGCGCCGGUACCACCUGAUGCUGAGGAGCAGAGCACGGUCUCGACCGGUGCUGGCGUUGGGCGAGGGCAUGGCGCCCCAAAUCGCCCCUGUCUUCCAAUCGGUGAGAAGAAAUUGGUGACAAGAGAUUUGAAGAGCUUCUUUUCUAGUGUGAGUGUCAGCUCUGGUCCUGAUGCAUUCGGGUGCCCAAGUACCCGGGAAAGUGAAAUUGUGGAUCAAGAUCAAAAGCAGGUCCAAGUCCAAUCUGUGGUUGUUGAUGUAGAAGAAGCAUUACCUGAGGUUGGGGCAGAUCUAGCAGAAGCAAAUGUGGAAGAAGAAGAGGAUGAAGGGGCAAUUUCUUAGAGAUGCUUGAAUGGCAUAAGAGAAGGGACCCUAAGGUGAAGACUGCAUUUGACCAUUUGUGUCCAAAAAAUGCAAAAACAACUUGCCCAGAAAUUCAGAAGGACAUAACAGACAGUUGUGCAAAAGAAAUCAGCAAAGUAAUAAAGGAGGAAAUUGGGGAUAAUCUUUUUUCCAAUCUCAUUGAUGAAUCUCGUGAUGUCUCAAUAGCAGAGCAAAUGGCUAUUAUUGUAAGAUUUAUGAACAAACAAGGAAUGGUUGUGGAAAGGUUGCUAGAUUGACUGAAAUAUAUGAUCAAGAUUUCUCUGACCUAGAACGUUCUAAUAUAAGAGAUCAACUUGAGACCUUUGUCAUACAUAUGCGAAGAGUUGAUUUUUUCAAAGAUUGUCAUAAUUUGGGAAGUUUGGCUAUAUAAAUGGUUAAACAUGAAAGAGAUAUUACUUUUCCAUUAGUCUUUUGGCCCAUUAAGUUAGGAUUGCUUCUACCAUUAGCAACAACAUCGGUUGAAAGAGCUUUUUCAGCUAUGAAUAUAAUCAAGACAGAUCUACGAAAUAGAAUGAAUGAUGAGUGGCUUCAUAGUUUGAUAUUGUGCUACAUUGAGAAGCAAAUUUUUAGAGACCUUGAUUCAGAAGAAAUUAAGAAGAUAUCUCAAGCUACCAAGAAUCGUAUAGACUUGCCCAGGCUACCUAGAAAACCUAGACUUGAAUAGUUUGUGUUAGUAGAAUAUGUGUUGAAAAAAUUAUGUUAUGACAUCUUAAACCUUUGUAUCUAAAAUUUAUUUGUAGUUUGGUGAUUUACUGUCGUUAUUUCA